Molecule: RNA transcript, 1524 nt
Organism: Puntigrus tetrazona (Sumatra barb)
Lineage: Eukaryota; Metazoa; Chordata; Actinopteri; Cypriniformes; Cyprinidae
Gene: sod3a
Gene name: superoxide dismutase 3, extracellular a
Exons: 3
Source: RefSeq, a predicted model, not a curated record
UUGACUAAACUAACGAGACACGGCUGAAGACGAUUAUACAAUUAACUAGAACUAAAAAAGCAGGGCACACGAGACAACAACAAUAAUAAUAAAGAGUCCAGAGACGUGGCAGACCGUACUGUAAAAUAACUAGGAGUGUGAUUAUGGUUAACUUGUAAGCUCUGCACGAGUUCUCAGGAGAGCAGCCAAUCAAUAAAACAAAGUUUGUUCAAAAGCGAAUUCUCUCGACCCCGGUUCAGGGCUACGCAGAUUAAGCUUUGCAGAAAUCCCGUGACUGCAAUAUUCAGCCUGCGCACGGUUUCAGGACAACAUUUCCAUAUGGCUUUAAACGGCAACAUGGGGAAAAUCAUCCUAAAAGUCCCUCUGAUGUUGCUGGCGCUGCACAUACAAAGCGGAGAGUUUUCCGACAGCCCCGCUCUUGUGAUCGUCGAAGCUCCGAAGCCAGAAGUGGUAGAGUUCAACGGCACAAUCUACGCCACUUGUGAAGUCGCUCCGGUCCCUGAUUUGCCGGCCAGCCAGCCGCAGAUCUCUGGGCAGGUGCUCUUCAAGCAGGUCUUUCCCAACGGGACUCUAGAAGCGAAAAUCAACCUCCGUGGUUUGCCCGCUGACGAUCGGCAAGUGCGGGCCAUCCACAUCCACCAGUAUGGAGACCUCAGUCAGGGAUGCGUCACUGUUGGUCCUCAUUACAAUCCGCGGGCCGUUGACCACCCCGCUCACCCCGGAGACCUGGGCAACUUUGUUUCCGAGCAAGGAGCUAUAAGGAGGUUUCUGAAGCUUCCCGAGGCCAAGCUGUUUGGGGCUCAGUCCGUCCUGGGACGCGCCGUGGUGGUCCACGAGAAGGAGGACGACCUGGGAAUGGGGUCAGACGAGGAGAGCAGACGCAGCGGGAAUGCUGGGAAGAGAAUCGCCGGCUGUGUGAUUGGCAUCGCUACUCCAAGUCUGUGGAGGAAGACUGAAGGGCUCCCCGGGGAAGAGGAGCUGAAGCAGAAGAAAUAAAGCAUCGCGUCUCGGACUGCUACUGUUUACAUGUAGGAGCUGCGUUUGAAAUGGGACACAAAAGAAGACUUUUUGAAGAAUGCUGGUACAAGUCCAGCUUAUGAGCAUCAAUGCCAUGGAAGUCCUACUGACCACCAACAAAUUACAAGAGAGAAACACGUACAGCUUUGGAACGAGAGGAGGGUCAUUUUCGGCUGACCUAUCCUGGUAAAGCUUCCCAAGGGGGGUUGUAGGAUCAUUCUGGCUCCCUGAAGAACGUUUAAUAAAAGAAUCUUAUUUCAUCAUUGUGUAGAGCGUUAAGAUGUUUUGUGUAAUGGGAAGGCUCCGGUAGAUAAAUGUUCUUCACGGAACCACUGACACCAAUAAAGUGUUGCAUGUGUUUUUCUUUGCCCUGCGUUAAAAAUACCUUGUAAUUUGCUAGAUUUAUUGGCGUUACAAACAAUAUAAUGUGACAUUUUGCACCCUUUAACCAUUUUUGUUCAUUAGUUUUUUCACUUUAUCAGAAUGGUGUUACUUGCUUAAGAACUU